This 104-nucleotide small nucleolar RNA is filed under the name Procavia capensis (Cape rock hyrax). Its description in RNAcentral is "Small nucleolar RNA SNORD46 (ENSPCAG00000019780.1)". It matches the Rfam family "Small nucleolar RNA SNORD46". From Rfam's summary of the family: U40 is a C/D box small nucleolar RNA, also known as snoZ153 in plants. The human sequence has also been annotated in the sequence databases as U46. The record is from RNAcentral. Lineage: Eukaryota; Metazoa; Chordata; Mammalia; Hyracoidea; Procaviidae.
AACUAGAGUGAUGAAAAAGUAUCCUUAGGUGUGGUGGUGACUGUCUUGGUCACUUGUGUGCCAUUUGCCAAUGCUAGGACUUGUCAUAGUUACACUGACUAUGU